CUAUGCAUGCAGUCGCACGCAGGCCUUCGGGUCUGAGUGGCGCACGGCUGAGGAACACGUAUGUUAUCUACCCCGGGGUGGGGGACAACCCGGCGAAAGCCGGGCUAAUCCCGCAUAGGCUCUGCGGAGGAAAGCGCGGCAACGCGCGCCCUGGGAUGAGCGUGCGGCCCAUCAGGUCGUUGGUGGGGUAACGGCCUACCAAGCCGAUGACGGGUCGCUGGUCUGCGAGGACGACCAGCCAGACUGGGACUAAGACACGGCCCAGACUCCUACGGGAGGCAGCAGCAAGGAAUUUUCGGCAAUGGGCUCACGCCUGACCGAGCAACGCCGCGUGGAGGAUGACGGCUUUCGGGUUGUAAACUCCUUUUGCCAGGGAAGAUACGGACGGUACCUGGCGAAUAAGCCCCGGCUAACUCUGUGCCAGCAGCCGCGGUAAUACAGAGGGGGCAAGCGUUAUCCGGAUUUACUGGGCGUAAAGGGUGUGUAGGCGGUGAGAUAGGUGUCGCGUUCCAGCGUGCGGCUUAACUGCACGAGUGCGCGGCAAACCCUUUCACUCGAGGGGUGCAGAGGUUGGUGGAAUUGCCAGUGUAGCAGUGAAAUGCGUAGAGAUUGGCAGGAACACCAAGGGCGCAAGCAGCCAACUGGGCACCUUCUGACGCUGAGGCACGAGAGCGUGGGGAGCAAACAGGAUUAGAUACCCUGGUAGUCCACGCCAUAAACGAUGUCUGCUCGCGACGUGCGGUUAUCCAUACCGCUGGGUCGCUUAGCUCACGCGGGAGCAGACCGCCUGGGACUACGAGCGCAAGCUAAACUCAAGAUGACGGGGCCGCACAGCAGCGGAGCGUGUG
RNAcentral lists this ribosomal RNA (848 nucleotides) under uncultured Roseiflexus sp. RNAcentral's name for it is "bacterial SSU rRNA". It matches the Rfam family "Bacterial small subunit ribosomal RNA", at positions 49 to 943 of the family's 1533-position model. The record is from RNAcentral. Lineage: Bacteria; Bacillati; Chloroflexota; Chloroflexia; Chloroflexales; Roseiflexaceae.